This 459-nucleotide ribosomal RNA is filed under the name uncultured bacterium. RNAcentral's name for it is "partial 16S ribosomal RNA". It matches the Rfam family "Bacterial small subunit ribosomal RNA", at positions 338 to 795 of the family's 1533-position model. The record is from RNAcentral.
CCUACGGGGAGCAGCAGUGAGGAAUAUUGGUCAAUGGGCGGGAGCCUGAACCAGCCAAGCCGCGUGAAGGAAGAAGGCGCCAGGCGUCGUAAACUUCUUUUGUCGGGGAACAAAGGGCGCCACGCGUGGCGUUGUGAGUGUACCCGAAGAAAACGCAUCGGCUAACUCCGUGCCAGCAGCCUCGGUAAUACGGAGGAUGCGAUCGUUAUCCGGAUUUGUGGGGUUUAUGGGGUGCGUAGGCGGUCCGGAAAGUCAGCGGUAAAAGGCCGGGGCGCAACCCCGGCGAACCGUUGAAACUGUCGGACUAGAGACGGCGAGAAGUACGCGGAAUGCGCGGUGUAGCGGUGAAAUGCAUAGAUAUCGCGCAGAACACCGAUUGCGAAGGCAGCGUACCGGCGCCGGACUGACGCUGAGGCACGAAAGCGUGGGUAUCGAACAGGAUUAGAUACCCGAGUAGUC